This 434-nucleotide ribosomal RNA is filed under the name uncultured bacterium. RNAcentral describes it as "partial 16S ribosomal RNA". It matches the Rfam family "Bacterial small subunit ribosomal RNA", at positions 30 to 507 of the family's 1533-position model. The record is from RNAcentral.
AGCGAACGCUGGCGGCAGGCCUAAAAAAUGAAAGGCGAAAGAAAAGUGCGGGGGGAGGGGAGGAAGGGGGAGGAACACGUGGGAACGGGCCUUGAGGUUCGGAAGAACUCAGGGAAACGUGUGCUAAGAAAGAAUGUGCCCGGCGGGGGAAAGAUUUAUCGCCGGGAGAGCGGCCCGCGUCUGAUUAGCUAGUUGGUUGAGGUAAUGGCUCACCAAGGCGCCGAUCAGUAGCGGGUCUGAGAGGAUGAUCAGCCACAUGGGGACUGAGACACGGCCCAAACUCCUACGGGAGGCAGCAGUGGGGAAUCUUGCGCAAUGGGCGAAAGCCUGCCGCAGCCAUGCCGCGUGCCUCCUUCCCGUCUUAGGAUUGUAAAAUUCUUUCCCCGUGGCCGAUAAUGACGGUACCCGGAGACGAAGCCCCUCCUCCCUUCGUC